UUUAAGUGCAACCACGAGUUUUCGUACCUAACUUUUGAUCGUCUAUUUUAUUUAAUUUUUUUUAUAAUUAGCAUUUUUAUUGUUUUUAAUUUUUUUAAGAUAAGAUGGAAGAUCAAAAUUAGAUAAAAAAAUCAUGACUGCAUUUAAA
RNAcentral lists this microRNA precursor (148 nucleotides) under Oryza glumipatula. RNAcentral's name for it is "MIR812 microRNA precursor family". It matches the Rfam family "MIR812 microRNA precursor family". Lineage: Eukaryota; Viridiplantae; Streptophyta; Magnoliopsida; Poales; Poaceae. The record is from Rfam by way of RNAcentral.